CCCCACUGCUAUCGGGAUAGGACUAAGACAUGCUAGUUGAGCGCUUCCAGCCAACACGGGAGCGCAGCGCACGGCUCAGUAACACGUGGCUAAUCUGCCCUUGGGAUAGGAACAACCCCGGGAAACUGGGGAUAAUUCCCAAUAGGCGAAGAACUCUGGAAUGAGUCUUCACCAGAAAAGACGUUUACGUUAUGCUCGUAAGCGUCGCCCAAGGAUGAGGCCGCGACCGAUCAGGUUGUUGGUGAGGUAAUGGCUCACCAAGCCUUUUACCGGUGCGGGCCGUGAGAGCGGGAGCCCGGAGAUGGGCACUGA
Molecule: ribosomal RNA, 312 nt
Filed under: uncultured archaeon
Lineage: Archaea
Description: bacterial SSU rRNA
Rfam family: Archaeal small subunit ribosomal RNA
Source: RNAcentral